RNAcentral lists this ribosomal RNA (785 nucleotides) under uncultured Gammaproteobacteria bacterium. Its description in RNAcentral is "bacterial SSU rRNA". It matches the Rfam family "Bacterial small subunit ribosomal RNA", at positions 93 to 877 of the family's 1533-position model. Lineage: Bacteria; Pseudomonadati; Pseudomonadota; Gammaproteobacteria. The record is from RNAcentral.
GAGCGGCGGACGGGUGAGUAACGCGUAGGAAUCUACCUAGUAGAAGGGGAUAGCCCGGGGAAACCCGGAUUAAUACCGUAUACCUCCUUCGGGAGAAAGAAGGCCUCUCUUUGAAGCUUUCGCUACUAGAUGAGCCUGCGUAAGAUUAGCUUGUUGGUGAGGUAAAGGCUCACCAAGGCUACGAUCUUUAGCUGGUCUGAGAGGACGAUCAGCCACAUUGGGACUGAGACACGGCCCAGACUCCUACGGGAGGCAGCAGUGGGGAAUAUUGGACAAUGGGCGCAAGCCUGAUCCAGCCAUACCGCGUGUGAAGAAGGCCUUCGGGUUGUAAAGCACUUUAAGCAGGGAGAAAAAGUUAUAAGCUAAUACCUUAUGACCUUGAUGUUACCUGCAGAAUAAGCACCGGCUAAUUCCGUGCCAGCAGCCGCGGUAAUACGGAAGGUGCAAGCGUUAAUCGGAAUUACUGGGCGUAAAGCGCGCGUAGGUGGUUUGUUAAGUUGGAUGUGAAAGCCCUGGGCUCAACCUAGGAACUGCAUCCAAAACUAACUCACUAGAGUACGAUAGAGGGAGGUAGAAUUCAUAGUGUAGCGGUGGAAUGCGUAGAUAUUAUGAAGAAUACCAGUGGCGAAGGCGGCCUCCUGGAUCUGUACUGACACUGAGGUGCGAAAGCGUGGGUAGCGAACAGGAUUAGAUACCCUGGUAGUCCACGCCGUAAACGAUGACAACUAGCUGUUGGGAGACUAUGUCUUUCAGUGGCGCAGCUAACGCUUAAGUGUCCGCCUGGG